Panicum virgatum (switchgrass) is the source of this 1146-nucleotide long non-coding RNA. RefSeq lists it as uncharacterized. NCBI's taxonomy places the organism in Eukaryota, Viridiplantae, Streptophyta, Magnoliopsida, Poales, Poaceae. The record is from RefSeq and is a predicted model, not a curated record. The transcript has 3 exons.
GUUAUUCCUAGGAAUUGUCAGUUCAGAGAGAGCUAAAUAAGAGGAGAGGCCGGAAGUGUGGCCGUGGAUUCGGUUUACUUAUGGUGGGAUACCGUGUACAGCAUCAUCCAGCACGUCAGAGGAAAAGGUUUUUCUUCAGCUAUGGAAAUCGGUUGGAAGCUAGCGUGGUGUCUCAAAGUUUCAAUAUGGCCUAUGAGCUGUGGAAAAAAAUUCUACACCAAUCCAACAAGUUGCAGUACAUGCCUGUCCAUGGCGGCUGACUGACUUUAGAUGCUUCACGAUGAAGUCGUCCCAUUUGAUGGUGAUUAUCACAGUUUUAUUUAUCGCAUCUCCCUGGCUGGCAAGGCAGCCAUGCUUUCACAACACCAAAGCAGGUUGCUUUCAAACUGUAGAAGAAAUGUCCAAGAUAUGUCUGUCUGGUAUGGGAGCUUUGAAUUCUGGUGCACUGGUGAAUGCCAAUUGGACAUUUGGACCUUGUUCUUUCUCCAGCAGUGCCUUUCACAGCAUUCUUGCUCUCAAAGCUGCCAAUACAGUAAUCCACAUCAGGACAUCUCCUUCAAAUUUUGAAACACGGACUGGAGCAUAUACCGGUAUCAUUCUUUGAGCUGGGCGACGUGAAGAUUGAGGCCGAAACUUCUUUGCAUUGGAAGCUCCACGGGAGUUACUCAUGGUCAUGGCGUUGAACGGCUGCAGAGUUAGACUGUACAUGAGCAUGUGUGGUCCUGCUACGUUGGAAGAAGAUAAUUCUUGCAAUAAUUCAGGUCGAAUUUCUGAUCAGACAGACAGACGGACAAUUCAAUUGCAAAUGCAAGGCACCACAGGUAGUCCGUGAUAACCAGCUUCAGAGGAUCCAUCACAGUUGCUUUCAUCAUGAGCAAUUCAUUUUUGUUAGUUUCUUCUGAGCAGAUUGCUACUGGCAGCUUUGGUCAGUCGUCUGAGACUGUGACAUCGUGCCUUUCUGAAUUUCCUGUGAUUUGCACAGGGUGAGACUUUGACAAACCUGGGCACUGGACACGACUUUCAAACGAAGAACCUUUUUUUUCUACCCCCAUCACGUUCUGCAAUCAACAAGUGGACAUUACUGAUUGUUGGAGUAUAUUGAGCCCAUGUAUAGAGGCCCCAUCUAGAGGCCCAUGUAUAGAAUCU